CCACAAUGGACGAAAGUCUGAUGGAGCAACGCCGCGUGAACGAUGAAGGCCUUCGGGUCGUAAAGGUUCUGUUGUAAGGGGAAGAACAAGUGCCGCAGGCAAUGGCGGCACCUUGACGGUACCUUGCGAGAAAGCCACGGCUAACUACGUGCCAGCAGCCGCGGUAAUACGUAGGUGGCAAGCGUUGUCCGGAAUUAUUGGGCGUAAAGCGCGCGCAGGCGGCCUCUUAAGUCUGAUGUGAAAGACCCCCGGCUCAACCGGGGAGGGCCAUUGGAAACUGGGAGGCUUGAGUAUAGGAGAGAAGAGUGGAAUUCCACGUGUAGCGGUGAAAUGCGUAGAGAUGUGGAGGAACACCAGUGGCGAAGGCGACUCUUUGGCCUAUAACUGACGCUGAGGCGCGAAAGCGUGGGGAGCAAACAGGAUUAGAUACCCCUGGUAG
RNAcentral lists this ribosomal RNA (439 nucleotides) under uncultured bacterium. RNAcentral describes it as "bacterial SSU rRNA". It matches the Rfam family "Bacterial small subunit ribosomal RNA", at positions 366 to 793 of the family's 1533-position model. The record is from RNAcentral.